UGAGGGAUAUUGGUAAAUGGGCGCAAGCCUGAUCCAGCGACGCCGCGUGGGUGAAGAAGGUCUUCGGAUCGUAAAGCCCUUUUCCCACUGAAGAGGAAGGACGGUAGGUGGGGAAGAAGUCUCGGCUAACUACGUGCCAGCAGCCGCGGUAAAACGUAGGAGACAAGCGUUAUCCGGAGUUACUGGGCGUAAAGGGCGUGCAGGUGGCGUCUUAAGUCUGUUGUGAAAGCGCCUGGCUGAACCGGGCGAGGCCAAUGGAGACUGAGAGGCUGGAGGACGGCGGAGGGGUGUGGAAUUCCGGGUGUAGUGGUGAAAUGCGUAGAGAUCCGGAGGAACACCAGAGGCGAAGGCGGCACUCUAAGCCGUACCUGACACUGAGACGCGACAGCACGGGGAGCAAACG
RNAcentral lists this ribosomal RNA (403 nucleotides) under uncultured bacterium. RNAcentral describes it as "bacterial SSU rRNA". It matches the Rfam family "Bacterial small subunit ribosomal RNA", at positions 355 to 774 of the family's 1533-position model. The record is from RNAcentral.